GACGAACGCUGGCGGCGUGCCUAAUACAUGCAAGUCGAACGAACUCUGGUAUUGAUUGGUGCUUGCAUCAUGAUUUACAUUUGAGUGAGUGGCGAACUGGUGAGUAACACGUGGGAAACCUGCCCAGAAGCGGGGGAUAACACCUGGAAACAGAUGCUAAUACCGCAUAACAACUUGGACCGCAUGGUCCGAGCUUGAAAGAUGGCUUCGGCUAUCACUUUUGGAUGGUCCCGCGGCGUAUUAGCUAGAUGGUGGGGUAACGGCUCACCAUGGCAAUGAUACGUAGCCGACCUGAGAGGGUAAUCGGCCACAUUGGGACUGAGACACGGCCCAAACUCCUACGGGAGGCAGCAGUAGGGAAUCUUCCACAAUGGACGAAAGUCUGAUGGAGCAACGCCGCGUGAGUGAAGAAGGGUUUCGGCUCGUAAAACUCUGUUGUUAAAGAAGAACAUAUCUGAGAGUAACUGUUCAGGUAUUGACGGUAUUUAACCAGAAAGCCACGGCUAACUACGUGCCAGCAGCCGCGGUAAUACGUAGGUGGCAAGCGUUGUCCGGAUUUAUUGGGCGUAAAGCGAGCGCAGGCGGUUUUUUAAGUCUGAUGUGAAAGCCUUCGGCUCAACCGAAGAAGUGCAUCGGAAACUGGGAAACUUGAGUGCAGAAGAGGACAGUGGAACUCCAUGUGUAGCGGUGAAAUGCGUAGAUAUAUGGAAGAACACCAGUGGCGAAGGCGGCUGUCUGGUCUGUAACUGACGCUGAGGCUCGAAAGUAUGGGUAGCAAACAGGAUUAGAUACCCUGGUAGUCCAUACCGUAAACGAUGAAUGCUAAGUGUUGGAGGGUUUCCGCCCUUCAGUGCUGCAGCUAACGCAUUAAGCAUUCCGCCUGGGAGUACGGCCGCAAGGCUGAAACUCAAAGGAAUUGACGGGGGCCCGCACAAGCGGUGGAGCAUGUGGUUUAAUUCGAAGCUACGCGAAGAACCUUACCAGGUCUUGACAUACUAUGCAAAUCUAAGAGAUUAGACGUUCCCUUCGGGGACAUGGAUACAGGUGGUGCAUGGUUGUCGUCAGCUCGUGUCGUGAGAUGUUGGGUUAAGUCCCGCAACGAGCGCAACCCUUAUUAUCAGUUGCCAGCAUUAAGUUGGGCACUCUGGUGAGACUGCCGGUGACAAACCGGAGGAAGGUGGGGAUGACGUCAAAUCAUCAUGCCCCUUAUGACCUGGGCUACACACGUGCUACAAUGGAUGGUACAACGAGUUGCGAACUCGCGAGAGUAAGCUAAUCUCUUAAAGCCAUUCUCAGUUCGGAUUGUAGGCUGCAACUCGCCUACAUGAAGUCGGAAUCGCUAGUAAUCGCGGAUCAGCAUGCCGCGGUGAAUACGUUCCCGGGCCUUGUACACACCGCCCGUCACACCAUGAGAGUUUGUAACACCCAAAGUCGGUGGGGUAACCUUUUAGGAACCAGCCGCCUAAGGUGGGACAGAUGAUUAGGGUG
This 1488-nucleotide ribosomal RNA is filed under the name Lactiplantibacillus pentosus. RNAcentral describes it as "bacterial SSU rRNA". It matches the Rfam family "Bacterial small subunit ribosomal RNA". Lineage: Bacteria; Bacillati; Bacillota; Bacilli; Lactobacillales; Lactobacillaceae. The record is from RNAcentral.